GUCAGGAUAGCUCAGUGUAGAGCAG
This 25-nucleotide transfer RNA is filed under the name Alopecurus aequalis. RNAcentral's name for it is "partial tRNA-Phe". The record is from RNAcentral. RNAcentral also lists the same sequence under 2 other names. Lineage: Eukaryota; Viridiplantae; Streptophyta; Magnoliopsida; Poales; Poaceae.